Non-coding RNA from Pelodiscus sinensis (Chinese soft-shelled turtle), 620 nucleotides. The record is from RefSeq and is a predicted model, not a curated record. NCBI's taxonomy places the organism in Eukaryota, Metazoa, Chordata, Testudines, Trionychidae.
UGAAAAAUGUAUUCCACACAUGGAUGGAGACGAUUAAAGAGAACACUGAUGCUGAGAUCUGUCCCCUGCUGCUCUGGGUGUGAUUUCCCAGAGCCCAAGAAUAACAGAACUUGCUGCCCAUGACAGGCAGGGAAUCGUCCCUUUUAGAGGGACACAUGGGCCAAACAGGAAACUGAGGGAUGCCUCAGCCUAGUACCCACAGAUGGUAUUACAGGUUCUCAGGCUCUGCCCAUGCCCCUGACCAUCCCUUUCCCGGUUUUCAUACGGAAAGAGACACAAGCCGAGAGGCAGAAGAUUGUGGCCGAGUUUCAGCAGCAGUUCCUGGAGGAACAAGAGCGACUCCUGCUGGCCCAGCUUCUCGCUGGAUGAGGAGACUGGGAGGCUCCAGACUGACGCUGACGGGAAACUCUCUGUGCAGAUUUCCCGUCUCAGUGAGCUGAUUGGUGAGCUGGAGGGGAAGUGUCAGAAGCCAGCGAGUGAAUUCCUGCAGGACAUGAGAAGCACCCUGAGCAGGUGUGAGACGGGGCCGUUCCAGCCGCCAGAGGAGAUUUCUCCUGAACUGGGCGAGCGAGUCAGAGGUUUCUCCCAGCAAACGACUGCACUGUCGGAGACUCUGAGGG